GCGAUUUCUGCUGCCUGGGGCCGUGGCGGUGGGGGCUGCGGAGCCCAGGAGCUUCCCACCCAGAGGAAAGGCAGCCUCACCCUCACUCUUCUCAGCGCGGACACGCCGCCCUCACCGCCGUGGGUGAGGGUCCUCAGGCUACACCCCACGGCUUGGAAUUCCACAACAUUGGACGAGGCACUCAGGACGGCCUGGCUCCCACAGACCCCUGCAGGAUGAACAGCCUCCCUGAGUCCAGGACGCCAGUGUCCGAAGAUUUCUGAAGGUUGUUGCAUUGAACCCAGGAAGGCUCCAGAGUGCCGGGGACUCUGGAGCCGUGCUUGAAAAUCUGCUGUCCUCUCAGGCUGCUGCCCUGCUGCUCUGCCCGCCGCUCCUGAGUCCCGUCCAAACUGCCUGGCCUGGCCUUCAAGGCCUCCAAGUGGGGCCUCCGCUUCCCUCUUCAGCUCAUCUCCCGCCCCAGCCCGGCCCUGACCCAGUGCACCGGCCACGGAAGCAUCGCAGCCUCGACUCCACGAACGCCAGGCCUGCGAACCGGGACCAUCACCGCUCCAGGAGGCGCCAAUCAAGGCCACUCGGCCGGACUCCGUGUCUGGACCUGGGCCCUGUCUUCUGCCUCCGAGUUCCCGCGCUUCCCGACCAGCCGCGGUUUCUGCACGCGCGCUUCCUCCGCUGGUACCACCCCCUCCCUUUCUGGAACUCCUUCCAGCUCAUCGUCCCAAACCCUAGCUGUCCUUCAAGGCCUGGCCCAGACGUGGCCUCCUGGACCUCCCCCUCCCCCCUGUAGUGUGUGUUGCCUUUUAUUUGUGACCUUGGGUCGCCGAGUUCCCGGGAGGGAGGGGCGAUGGGGGUCUACCGGCAGAGACGGCUAGUGGUCCCACAGUACUCACUCUCCUCUUCCGAAAGUAAAAGAAGCUCCAAAUU
RNAcentral lists this long non-coding RNA (921 nucleotides) under Sus scrofa (pig). RNAcentral's name for it is "lncRNA (ENSSSCG00005019448.1)". The record is from RNAcentral. Lineage: Eukaryota; Metazoa; Chordata; Mammalia; Artiodactyla; Suidae.